Molecule: long non-coding RNA, 1345 nt
Organism: Frieseomelitta varia
Lineage: Eukaryota; Metazoa; Arthropoda; Insecta; Hymenoptera; Apidae
Exons: 6
Source: RefSeq, a predicted model, not a curated record
GGACCGUGCACCGGUUGCAAACCCUGCCGCCUAUACGAUCAUCGUGGUUCGCUGUUUCUCCUCGAGGCGAGGCCCGAUUGGUCCACGAGUACGGCGACGUGUGCGAAACGGGUGGCCGGUUUUGAACUCCACGGUCGCUCGCCGAUCGAACCAUUCGGCGAAUUUCAGGACUAGAGAUGGGAUCGAGUGCCUCACAAGUAGCCUCGAAUCUUUAAUACAAGUUUAUAAGUGCUUAUAAGGCACUCGGAAAGUAUUUUUAAUGAUAAUGGUACUUCUGAUGGUACUUUAUAGUCGAAUUAUAGUGACGUAUGUUUCGCGAAUACUUGCAGAAAAAUGAAGAUGACAGUUUCAAGUAAAUUCGAACACUGAUUGAGUCGAAUCUCUGGUCGUUGGAUACUAUUUAUAAGUACUUGGNAACUCUAAAUGAUAAUGACAGUUUCAAGUAAAUUCGAACACUGAUUGAGUCGAAUCUCUGGUCGUUGGAUACUAUUUAUAAGUACUUGGAACUCUAAAUGAAGACGAUACUUUCAAACAAAUUCGAAUACUGGUGAAUAGAGAUGGGACUAUCUCACAAGUAGCUUCAGUCGUUGAAUACCACUCAAAGUGGCAUUCGAAACCCGUGAAAUGAAACUAGAUAUCGCACUUGACUCGGAUUCGCAGCUAUACGUAUCGCACUUGAUCCCAUCCCUAUUCACAACAGCUGACGCUGCUUCGCGAUGAUACGUAGGUUACGAUAACGGUACCGAAGAAAGCUAGUUUCCAACAGUGGUCCAGGCUAACCAUGAUUGAUGUCCGGGGUCUAGACGACCGCGAUCUCGCGUUGCGUGAAUUCAGCUUCCACCGGGUGUAUUGAAAAUUCAAUGGGACGGGUUGAAUUUUCGGAUAUUGGAGCAAACAGUGUCGGACAGUACAGUAAAUUUACGUUACGAUGUGGUUGUACUCUUGGUAAUGUGUUCUACAUAGUACGCGAAAUAUAAUUACCGAAUAUGUAUGGGAUCACAGAGAAUCAAGGGAGGAAUGGAAAUGAAGAACAGGAAUCAGUUUUGUGAACUGAAUAGAGAAUAGCAGAAUACAAAUAUCACUGCUUGGAUUUAAACUUUUCUUGGGAGGCAACAAUAGAAACAACAUCAAGUAUUCCCCUUUUUAUUCUUCCAAAAUGAAUACAUUCGUAAGCAAUUGUACGUCACUAUCGACAAGAGAGAAGUUCGAAUUGAAUUUGUGCCUUGGUUAAACAAUUUUGCGUUAAGAAACGAAAUAUCUAAUAAUUAACUAAAACUAUCUAAAGAGAUACAAAUGUGAAAAAUUCUUUUGCCUCGUGUUGGUUCGCGAGAUGAUCAUUUUCAUU